AGUUUAUGGAGACAUGAAAAAAAAAAAAAAGAAAAAAAGAAACCUUGGCGAGAGGAGAGCAUCAUGGGGAGUUUGAGAAUUAUCCUAAAUUUGAGAAUCUUCCCAUUGAUAAAGAGAUUGACUGGUUUAUACACUGGACGUCACAAAACACAUAUUAACUGAACUUUGCAUUCUUGUGGCUUUCACAAGACUUUCUGUGGGUUGCAGUGGUGAAAGGCAACCCUCUAAUUGUGCAUUCAAGUGGAUUGAUAAGGCUUUGCACUAAUCUCUCUUCAUGAUACUUUUCACAAAAGACCACUUGGUUGCAAAUCCGGUUGUCAGUUCUGCCUGCAGUGCAGAAGAAGAAAUGGCAUCAUGGGAUGCAACCGACUAGCUCAGGAGGGGAGAAGAGAAGCAAAAGGAGGGGGUGGCAACCAAGUCAGAAACAGUAAAGUGACCAGAAAGUAAAUAUUUAGUUGGAAAGUGUCCUAUGGCAGUUUCUCCUAUCAGGGAAAGUCCUGAUUCCAGCUGGAUCUGGUCUUGCCCCAGAUCACCUUUUUCCACAAAACUUUACGCAUCAAGACCUGCAAUUCUGUUUCUCCAAAGCAUUUUUAAACAGUGUGCUUUAAAUUACCAACUGUAUUGCCUCCUAAGUUAUCUUUUUCUUGUGAAUGACUUCUAACUUAAUUCUGUUUCUGCCCAAGAAGGAAGUUUACAAUGUCUUUUCCUUUAAGUUGCUGAGACUUGUUUGAUUAUUUUAUACAAGGUCAGGUUUUAAAACGUCCCAUAUAUUUUAGUAGAGAAAGUGUGGUCUAUAACUCUAGAACCUAUAACUAUCAGGCAUGAUAAUUAUAUGUACCCACCAGAACAAAAUAUUAACUUUAUUGUCCCAUUCUGCUAAUUUUUUUCUGAUUUUCGUUACUUUGAUCUUUAAUUACUAAGAAAAUAAGUGAUAGAUAGCAUGACUUUCUCUUCAAGGUUAUCUUACAUUUUCCUCAUACAUUUAAAAAUCAGCAUACCUGUGUACAUUUACAAGUUUAUAUAUUAUGUACAAAAUAAAUUAGGCUGCAUUUCCCUUCUUUUUUCCCCUUUAUUUUAGGUAUCAUGUGAAAGACAGGGAGUAGAUUUCUUCAAAUGUUGGGUGGGAGUUUGUUACUUCUGUCUAUUUCCAUUUGAGCUAUUUUUCUUUAGCCAAAUUUAAAAAAUUUAACUUUCCAUAAAUUAAUAAACUUCAUUUAGAUUAUUAAAUUCAUUGACUUUUUUGCAUCUUAAAAUAUUUCUUGUCAUGGAUAUCUCUUGACAAUAAUUCAUUUAUACUGUAUUUAUUGAGUCCCUAACGUAUGGAAAUACCAUGUUGAUGCCUUUAUGACAUUUAUAUUCUAUUGGCAAUGAAAGAGGUUAAAAAUAGUUAAACAUAUAACAUAAUACGGUAAGUGGUUUUGAAAGCCACGUAUGCCAGAUGGGAGAAAAGGAACUCAGGAGAGAAGGGCAUGUAGUGUUUUUGUUACUCAACAAAGGAUAUUUGGAAAAGGCUCCUUGAUAACAUAUACUUGUCAAAAGACUUCAGGAAGUGAGGGAGAGAGCCAUCCAAUUAUCUGGACAAUAAGCCUACCUGGCUGAAAGCACUCAGUACAAAGGACUGAGGGUGGGGAGUUUCUGGUGAGUUCAUGGAGCAGCAAGGAGCGCAGUGUUGCUGAGUAAUGAAGUUAAUAAAAGGAGAGCAGCUGGAAGAUUAUGUCAAAGAGACAGACAGUCAGGGGCCAGACUUGAGGGCUGCUUAAAUUAUUGUAAGGCCCUUACUCAAAAUAGCUCUGGUCUGGAUGAUACAUUUUAUUUAAUCUAGCUGUACUAGUUUCUCAGGGCUGCCGUAAUAAAUGUCUGUAAUCUGGGUACCUUAAUACAACAAAACAUAUUGUUUAAUAGCUUGGGAGUCUAGAGUCUGAAAUCAAGAUGUCAGCAGGUUCUGGAGGCUCUGAGGAAGAAACCAUCCCAAGCUUCGCUUUCAGCUUUUGAUGGUUUCUGGAUACCCUUGGAGUUCUUUGCCUCUUCCAGCUCUGUCUCUGCAUGUCCUCUUCUCUUUUUACAAGGACACCAAUCAUUGGAUUAGGGCCCACCCUAUUCAGUGUGACCUCCUUUUAAAUAAUUAUCUCAGUAAGGACCCUACUUCCAAAUAAGAUCACAUUCUACAUGAAGUUGGGGGAGAAGGGAUAUUCAACCACCGCACUAGGCAAAGAUGAAUCAAGUUGAGUUUCCUUCCCAGUGUCUUCUCCAGUCUGCAGGAAAUAUCUACCAUUGCUUGCUGUCAGGGGUAUUACAGCCAGGACCCCUGGCUGUGCUCUCUGCCUGGUCUGCCUUCAGGAAAGUCCAGCCAUGUUAGUCUCUACAAGAGUUUCUAGUUCAAGAUCAAGAACCAAUCCAACCCCAACAAACUACAAGCAGACACAGGUCAGAUUCUUGCCAUACUUUAAUGGCAUUAGGACUCAAAGAUUUCUGUAUCUCAGCCAGUAUUUGGACAUGGGGAGGGGCUGGUCUCUCCUAUUGGAAAGCAUCUCCACUCUGUACAUGGUGAGGUAGGGGCCAGAAGGGAUGCA
RNAcentral lists this long non-coding RNA (2570 nucleotides) under Sus scrofa (pig). RNAcentral's name for it is "lncRNA (ENSSSCG00000057772.1)". The record is from RNAcentral. Lineage: Eukaryota; Metazoa; Chordata; Mammalia; Artiodactyla; Suidae.